GGAUCUCUCUUAAAGGAGAGACGCUACGAUAUGAAGGUGGCUCACCCAGCGUGACGUUCAACCAUUGUACUAUGCUGACCCCAGCAGAUUCCCAAAUGCGGGAAUCUAAACUGCAUAAUUUCUGGUAGUGGGGGACUGCCAUGACGGCUGCCCCUG
Small nuclear RNA from Brienomyrus brachyistius, 156 nucleotides. RefSeq annotates it as U1 spliceosomal RNA. NCBI's taxonomy places the organism in Eukaryota, Metazoa, Chordata, Actinopteri, Osteoglossiformes, Mormyridae. The record is from RefSeq and is a predicted model, not a curated record. The transcript has a single exon.